Molecule: transfer RNA, 66 nt
Filed under: Sclerophasma paresisense
Lineage: Eukaryota; Metazoa; Arthropoda; Insecta; Mantophasmatodea; Mantophasmatidae
Description: tRNA-Pro
Rfam family: tRNA
About the family: Transfer RNA (tRNA) molecules are approximately 80 nucleotides in length. Their secondary structure includes four short double-helical elements and three loops (D, anti-codon, and T loops). Further hydrogen bonds mediate the characteristic L-shaped molecular structure. tRNAs have two regions of fundamental functional importance: the anti-codon, which is responsible for specific mRNA codon recognition, and the 3' end, to which the tRNAs corresponding amino acid is attached (by aminoacyl-tRNA synthetases). tRNAs cope with the degeneracy of the genetic code in two manners: having more than one tRNA (with a specific anti-codon) for a particular amino acid; and 'wobble' base-pairing, i.e. permitting non-standard base-pairing at the 3rd anti-codon position.
Source: RNAcentral
CAGAAAGUAGUUUAAGUUAGAAUAUUAAUUUUGGAGAUUAAAGAUGGAAGUUAUUUUCUUUUCUGA